CAAAUUCGCUUCUAGGGGAGU
RNAcentral lists this microRNA (21 nucleotides) under Gadus morhua (Atlantic cod). Its description in RNAcentral is "gmo-miR-10c-3p". Its record names the gene gmo-miR-10c-3p. The record is from miRBase by way of RNAcentral. Lineage: Eukaryota; Metazoa; Chordata; Actinopteri; Gadiformes; Gadidae.